GCACUGUUUCGCUGCGGGCUGCGAGAGCGGUACCAAAGUGAGACAAACUCAGAAUACCAGAUAAAAUUUUACCAGUGAGACGGUGGGGGAUAAGCUUCAUCGUCGAAAGGGAAACAGCCCAGACCACCAGCUAAGGUCCCCAAGUAGAUACUAAGUGAGAAAGGAGGUGGGAGUGCAUAGACAACCAGGAGGUUUGCUUAGAAGCAGCAAUCCUUGAAAGAGUGCGUAAUAGCUCACUGGUCUAGCGCUCCUGCGCCGAAAAUGAAUGGGGCUAAGUAUCUCACCGAAGCUGUGGACUUGUACUAGUUACAAGUGGUAGAGGAGCGUUCUGUAUGGGGUGAAGCAUUAGCGGCAAGCAGAUGUGGACGGUACAGAAGUGAGAAUGUCGGCUUAAGUAGCGAAAAUAUAUGUGAGAAUCAUAUACCCCGAAAGCCCAAGGAUUUCUUCGGAAGGCUCGUCCGCGAAGAGUUAGUCGGGACCUAAGGCGAGGCCGAAAGGCGUAGUCGAUGGAUACAGGGUGAAUAUUCCCUGACUAUUACAUGGGAGCUUUGAUAGGGACGCAUGAAAAAUAACCACGCCCUGAAUGGAUUGGGAGGAGUCUAAGGACUCCGUGUGGUAAAGCUAGUGCCAAGAAAAGCUAUCAAAGUGUUGAAGAUGUAGUACCCGUACCCGAAACCGACACAGGUGGGCAGGUAGAGAAUACUAAGGGGCGCGAGAUAACUCUCUCUAAGGAACUCGGCAAAAUGACCCCGUAACUYCGGG
This 762-nucleotide ribosomal RNA is filed under the name Stanieria sp. PCC 7301. Its description in RNAcentral is "partial 23S ribosomal RNA". It matches the Rfam family "Bacterial large subunit ribosomal RNA", at positions 908 to 1740 of the family's 2925-position model. Lineage: Bacteria; Bacillati; Cyanobacteriota; Cyanophyceae; Pleurocapsales; Dermocarpellaceae. The record is from RNAcentral.